Molecule: long non-coding RNA, 454 nt
Organism: Cloeon dipterum
Lineage: Eukaryota; Metazoa; Arthropoda; Insecta; Ephemeroptera; Baetidae
Exons: 2
Source: RefSeq, a predicted model, not a curated record
GGGCGAUUUUAGUGUGCGCGUGGUAGCGGCGGCUGCACAUGCAUGCACGCACUUGCAUGGAAUGCCUGCUGCUGCUGCCUGCCUCUGUUGUGGAGCGGGGGAGGGGCGACGGGCGGUGGCAGCAGCAAGCGCAGCAAGAGACUUACAAAAUCCUGCCUCGCUCUCUUUGUCCAACGCGUCAACGGUCAACCGCCGUUCAAAGUUAAAGUUAUUAACGGACGCAGGACGCCGGACGCCGCCAGUAAGGGACAACACGGACGUCCCGCAGACUUGGACGGAUGGCCUGGAUCUGGCGGUUAACAGGCUUCAAGCCGUCCGCAGCUGUUGCACGACGGGAAAAGAUACAAUCGUUUAAGUUCUGCAGUUUGGGCUUCAAGAUUGGCGGUGCUGGCAUCGAAUGAGAGAAAAUUUUGUACCUGAUAUGAUUAAAAACAAAUAAAUUUUAAAAAUUUAA